RNAcentral lists this ribosomal RNA (253 nucleotides) under uncultured bacterium. RNAcentral describes it as "partial 16S ribosomal RNA". It matches the Rfam family "Bacterial small subunit ribosomal RNA", at positions 524 to 776 of the family's 1533-position model. The record is from RNAcentral.
UACGUAGGGGGCAAGCGUUGCCCGGAAUCAUUGGGCGUAAAGAGCGUGUAGGCGGCUCGGUAAGUCCGCUCUGAAAGCCCGGGGCUCAACCCCGGGAGGCGGGCGGAUACUGUCGGGCUAGAGUCCGGAAGAGGCGAGUGGAAUUCCUGGUGUAGCGGUGAAAUGCGCAGAUAUCAGGAAGAACACCCGUGGCGAAGGCGGCUCUCUGGGACGGUACUGACGCUGAGACGCGAAAGCGUGGGGAGCGAACAGG